This 545-nucleotide ribosomal RNA is filed under the name uncultured bacterium. RNAcentral describes it as "bacterial SSU rRNA". It matches the Rfam family "Bacterial small subunit ribosomal RNA", at positions 358 to 917 of the family's 1533-position model. The record is from RNAcentral.
GGAAUCUUGCGCAAUGGGCGAAAGCCUGACGCAGCAACGCCGCGUGCGGGAAGAAGGCUUUCGGGCUGUAAACCGCUUUCAGUAGGAACGAAACUGACGGUACCUACAGAAGAAGGAGCGGCCAACUAUGUGCCAGCAGCCGCGGUGACACAUAGGCUCCAAGCGUUGCCCGGAUUUAUUGGGCGUAAAGAGCUCGUAGGCGGUUGAGUAAGUCGGGUGUGAAAACUUUGGGCUUAACCCAAAGAUGCCACUCGAUACUGUUCAACUUGAGUUUGGUAGGGGAGUGGGGAAUUCCUUGUGUAGCGGUGAAAUGCGCAGAUAUAAGGAGGAACACCGGUGGCGAAGGCGCCACUCUGGGCCAAUACUGACGCUGAGGAGCGAAAGCGUGGGGAGCAAACAGGAUUAGAUACCCUGGUAGUCCACGCGGUAAACGGUGGUCACUAGGUGUGGGUCUCUAACCAAUGAGAUCCGCGCCGUCGCUAACGCAUUAAGUGACCCGCCUGGGGAGUACGGUCGCAAGACUAAAACUCAAAUGAAUUGACGGA